CAAUACAGGCUAUAUAAUUCCUCUACCCUAACCCUUCCGCCUCAUCCUCUGUAAUAUCACAAUUUCUCCCACGGCGGCGGAGGAAAGCAGCGAAACAAGUUCAUCUUUCAACCCACCAAUUAUUUUCACCCCGGCAGAAACCGAGGGAGGAGAACAAAAUACAGGAGCCAUGAUUCGUUUGCUUAAAACAGUUUGUUCACAAUCUGCAAUUGAAGGUUGAGCUGCGACAAGCUUGGGGUGGUGUUGAGUCGAGCCUUAAUCAUCGUUGGAUUUAUUUUGAAUCUCCGAGGGGCGUCGUGUCUUCAUACAUGGCGUCACUCUUACUCUUGAAUGCUUCCGCUGAGAUAAUACAUUCUUUCACAACUAUGUUAUCAACCCUGUUUCCUAUUGGUUUAUUAAAUAUGAUACCCGUUGUCUUUGGAUUUAAAUGCUAAGGCAUUACUCUGAUUAUUCCUCAUUAUUUGAAUAUUAAUUAUCUUUGUCA
Molecule: long non-coding RNA, 484 nt
Organism: Salvia hispanica
Lineage: Eukaryota; Viridiplantae; Streptophyta; Magnoliopsida; Lamiales; Lamiaceae
Source: RefSeq, a predicted model, not a curated record